RNAcentral lists this long non-coding RNA (220 nucleotides) under Mytilus galloprovincialis (Mediterranean mussel). The record is from RNAcentral. Lineage: Eukaryota; Metazoa; Mollusca; Bivalvia; Mytilida; Mytilidae.
ACAACCACUGAAUUACAGGUUCCUGACUUGGGACAGGCACAUACAUAAAUAAUGUGGCGGGGUUAAACAUGUUAGCGGGAUCCCAACCCUCCCCCUAACCUGGGACAGUGGUAUAACCGUACAACAUAAGAACGAACUAUAAAAAUCAGUUGAAAAAGGCUCAACUCAUCUGAUGGACAAAAAUACAAGUGGACGUGGCCCGGUACUUACACAUCCCGAC